Molecule: transfer RNA, 75 nt
Filed under: Brachybacterium faecium
Lineage: Bacteria; Bacillati; Actinomycetota; Actinomycetes; Micrococcales; Dermabacteraceae
Also listed under: 3 other names
Description: tRNA-Gln
Rfam family: tRNA
About the family: Transfer RNA (tRNA) molecules are approximately 80 nucleotides in length. Their secondary structure includes four short double-helical elements and three loops (D, anti-codon, and T loops).
Source: RNAcentral
UCCGCCAUGGUGUAAUCGGCAACACCUCAGAUUUUGGUUCUGAAGUUUCAGGUUCGAGUCCUGAUGGCGGAACGA